This 254-nucleotide ribosomal RNA is filed under the name uncultured bacterium. RNAcentral's name for it is "partial 16S ribosomal RNA". It matches the Rfam family "Bacterial small subunit ribosomal RNA", at positions 524 to 776 of the family's 1533-position model. The record is from RNAcentral.
UACGUAGGGUCCAAGCGUUGUCCGGAUUUAUUGGGCGUAAAACGCUCGUAGGUGGCUACGUCAAGUCGGACGUGAAAUCUCCCGGCUUAACUGGGAGGGGCCGUGCGAAACUGCCGGGCUUGAGGUCAGAAGGGGAAAGUGGAAUUCCGGGUGUAGUGGUGGAAUACGUAGAUAUCCGGAGGAACACCAGCGGCGAAGGCGGCUUUCUGGUCUGAUACUGACGCUGAGGCGCGAAAGCGUGGGGAGCGAUCCGG